Molecule: ribosomal RNA, 327 nt
Filed under: uncultured eukaryote
Lineage: Eukaryota
Description: partial 18S ribosomal RNA
Rfam family: Eukaryotic small subunit ribosomal RNA
Source: RNAcentral
CCCUUAGAUGUUCUGGGCCGCACGCGCGCUACACUGACGAAUGCAACGAGCUUAUAACCUUGGCCGAAAGGUCUGGGUAAUCUCCAAAUUUCGUCGUGAUGGGGAUAGAUUAUUGCAAUUAUUAAUCUUCAACGAGGAAUGCCUAGUAAGCGCAAGUCAUCAGCUUGCGUUGAUUACGUCCCUGCCCUUUGUACACACCACCCGUCGCUCCUACCGAUUGAAUGGUCCGGUGAAGCGCUCGGACCGCGGCCUCUUGACGGUUUUCCGUCGAUUGGCUGUGGGAAGUUCGUUAAACCUUAUCAUUUAGAGGAAGGAGAAGUCGUAACA